AAUCAACGCUGGCGGCGUGCCUAACACAUGCAAGUCGAACGCGAAAGCCCCGCAAGGGGUAAGUAGAGUGGCAAACGGGUGAGUAACACGUGGGCGACCUGCCUUCGAGUGGGGGAUAACGUCCCGAAAGGGACGCUAAUACCGCAUGACAUCCUGCUUUUUAAGAGGUGGAGAUCAAAGCCGGGGAUCGCAAGACCUGGCGCUUGAAGAGGGGCCCGCGCCUGAUUAGCUAGUUGGUGGGGAAUGGCUCACCAAGGCAACGAUCAGUAUCCGGCCUGAGAGGGCGGACGGACACACUGGGACUGAGACACGGCCCAGACUCCUACGGGAGGCAGCAGUGGGGAAUUGUUCGCAAUGGGCGCAAGCCUGACGACGCAACGCCGCGUGGAGGAUGAAGACCUC
This 402-nucleotide ribosomal RNA is filed under the name uncultured bacterium. RNAcentral's name for it is "bacterial SSU rRNA". It matches the Rfam family "Bacterial small subunit ribosomal RNA", at positions 29 to 418 of the family's 1533-position model. The record is from RNAcentral.